RNAcentral lists this ribosomal RNA (497 nucleotides) under uncultured bacterium. Its description in RNAcentral is "partial 16S ribosomal RNA". It matches the Rfam family "Bacterial small subunit ribosomal RNA", at positions 28 to 507 of the family's 1533-position model. The record is from RNAcentral.
GAUGAACGCUGGCGGCGUGCCUAAUACAUGCAAGUCGAGCGAACAGAUAAGGAGCUUGCUCCUUUGACGUUAGCGGCGGACGGGUGAGUAACACGUGGGUAACCUACCUAUAAGACUGGGAUAACUUCGGGAAACCGGAGCUAAUACCGGAUAACAUUUGGAACCGCAUGGUUCUAAAGUGAAAGAUGGUUUUGCUAUCACUUAUAGAUGGACCCGCGCCGUAUUAGCUAGUUGGUAGGGUAACGGCUUACCAAGGCAACGAUACGUAGCCGACCUGAGAGGGUGAUCGGCCACACUGGAACUGAGACACGGUCCAGACUCCUACGGGAGGCAGCAGUAGGGAAUCUUCCGCAAUGGGCGAAAGCCUGACGGAGCAACGCCGCGUGAGUGAUGAAGGGUUUCGGCUCGUAAAACUCUGUUAUUAGGGAAGAACAAACGUGUAAGUAACUGUGCACGUCUUGACGGUACCUAAUCAGAAAGCCACGGCUAACUACGUG